This is a long non-coding RNA of Phyllostomus discolor (pale spear-nosed bat), 2399 nucleotides long. RefSeq lists it as uncharacterized. The transcript is spliced from 2 exons. The record is from RefSeq and is a predicted model, not a curated record. Lineage: Eukaryota; Metazoa; Chordata; Mammalia; Chiroptera; Phyllostomidae.
UUCGUGGAGGGAGGAUUCGGGCUGUAGGUGGGGGGUGGUGUGGGGAUGCCUAGGGCACCCCCUGAAACCCAAGCAAGGGCCCUGGGGCACUCCAGGCCACUGUCCGAGGCUCCCCCUUCCUUCCCUUCCCCCAGUGCCUACGGCGGCUGCUUGGCACCUCUUAGGAGCCGAGAGCCUUUUCAGCUCCCCCUUUAUUUCUAGUACCCCGAAAUGUGCGUUUUUCCUCGCUCUUCCUGCAACCCCCGCCCCAUUGCCUCUGACUUUCCUCCACGACGCUUGGACUCCCAAGACAGCCUUUAAAAAAAAUUUUUUUUUUUUUUUUUUUUUUUUUUUUUUGGCAAGACCAGCCACCUCUUUUCACCAAGGCCACCUUUUAAGGUCUCUCUUUCCUGUUUGCUUCUGAUUUAGGAACUCGAGAUAGAAAUUCCCGAGAGUGAAGCCUUUCCCCCUUUCUUGAGAUGCCUCCAUUCCCUCCACUUAGUGCUUCUUGAACUGGGGGUUUUGUUUAUAUAACUCAAGUUGUUUGGCUGGAUUCUUCAGGUGAAUUCCUUCUUUCUUCCUUUUAUUUGUUACUGUUUGCGAUUGGACGUUUUACCUCUGUAGAGAUCGAUGAUUGUUGCUAAAUACCCAGUUAUGGAAUUUGCAAAAGUUUUUAAACAAGUAGUUUUUGCAUUUGGUUUGGAAGCGGGGGAUGGGAGGGAAGUUCCUGGGCAAGUGAUUUUCUUCUCAUAAUCUUUCCAGGAAUAAGAAGGUGUUUUUCUCUUCACUUAGGAAAACUUGGCUAGAAAUUAGGAACAGAUAGACUUCGAAGUUUUGGGAUUUGAAAUUUAGAAUUUUGGGGAGGUGGGAGUGGAGAUUAGAGAGAGGAACAAGUACUAAAGUGUAUAUUAUGUACCAACAUAUGUCCAGGCUUAAGUGAGACCCUUUAUGAGCUGUUUGUGGCUCUGAUUGAGUUUUGUAAAUGUGUGAAUGAUACCAGUAAUGCUGGCUUUUCAUAAGGUUUCAGGAAAACUUGCAACUGUGGCUAUGUGUACAUUUUACAUAAAGCAGUUUCAGAUUUUAUUUUUGUUUAGAAACUAGGAAAUGGCAUGAUGGCAGAAUCUGAGUUAUUUUUAUCUUGAAUUCAGAGUUACUGUCACACCUAAUGCAAAUUUCUACCUAAUGUUUAAUUAGAAUGGGGGUGGGUGGGAGAAUGCCAGCUGUUUUUGAUCAAUGUCAGGUUCUCAAAUUAUAUACAUAUAUAUUUUUAGAAGAUUGAGGAUAAAGGGUGAGGCCUAACUUGACCUGAUGCCUUUUCCAUAUAGUGCCUUUUGUUCAUUUAGUAGUUGUGGCAUCUAGAAUGAUUACCGCAUUUAGGAGUCGGGGUGUGGGGGGUGGAGAGGCAGAGGAAAACAGACAAAGAACUGCAGGGUGUCUUUCUUUUUUUCCUUCCCCUAAGUGGCUUAUUUCAUAGCUUAUUUUUAGUAGAAGAUAAAGAAAGGCUAAGAUGUAUUGGCCUUCUGUUCUUUCCCCACCUUCCUUCUUUCUGACAAAAGAAAGCAAAGGUGCUUUAAAAUCAUAGAUCUCUGAGAUAGGAGAACAGCAGUCUCGGGAUUUAAAAGGCAGAGGUUAUCUUUGUUUCAGAUUUUUGAUUUUCAGGGUUAACAUAGUUUGGAAGUUAAAAUUUCCUGCAUCCUUUUGUGUGUGCAUAUGUCUUGUCGGUUGAGAGAUUUUGUGGCCUCCUUUCUCUGUUGAAUGCACAUUAGCAGGCCCAAAUGGAGCCAGCAGUUUUUUGAGCAAGGUAUAGUUAGCAAAAAAAAGGGAAAAAUUCCCUAACCCACUAUGAAAAUGAGUACAGUUGUGUGAGAGGGCUGGGGGUUGAAAAUGAAAGAUGGUGGAGAGGAAGUAGAAAAGGUCUGAAGGAAUGUACUUGUUUUUUUGCUCCUUAGUGUCCCUUGAUGAUUUCUUUGGUGUGGAGGCUGAUAGCUGGUUUCAUUGCAAUCUCCUGUUUCAGCCCAUUUUUGGAUGUCUCCCGAGUGUAAUUAUGCUACAAGGAUUUACAGCCUGAUAGGGAACCUGUAUAGUAGGAAAGUAGCGGUGUGGGGGUAGGGAGAGAAGAGGAUGUGUAACUAACUGGCCACUGCCUUCUACCACCUCCCUAGACACUGACUCUGGUUGUUUGGAGUCAGUGCUGUUUCUUUUGUGAUGGGUUGGUAGGAGGAGAGCUGACUUCCAAGUUAUACAGGGAGUGAGUGUUUUGCACCGAUUCACUUAUUCACUUAAUAAUCCGCUGGGCGAUUAUGUUCUGAAACUCUGACUCAUUCAUUGUUUCUCUUCUGAUCCUUUGCUGAAUGUUGUGCAAACCUCUCCAGGAGCCUAGAAACUGAUGUACAUGACUUUUGGGCCCUGUUAAAAGUGUG